This 300-nucleotide ribosomal RNA is filed under the name Pseudomonas sp. It matches the Rfam family "Bacterial small subunit ribosomal RNA", at positions 195 to 476 of the family's 1533-position model. The record is from RNAcentral. Lineage: Bacteria; Pseudomonadati; Pseudomonadota; Gammaproteobacteria; Pseudomonadales; Pseudomonadaceae.
UACGGCAGAAAGCAGGGGACCUUCGGGCCUUGCGCUAUCAGAUGAGCCUAGGUCGGAUUAGCUAGUUGGUGAGGUAAUGGCUCACCAAGGCGACGAUCCGUAACUGGUCUGAGAGGAUGAACAGUCACACUGGAACUGAGACACGGUCCAGACUCCUACGGGAGGCAGCAGUGGGGAAUAUUGGACAAUGGGCGAAAGCCUGAUCCAGCCAUGCCGCGUGUGUGAAGAAGGUCUUCGGAUUGUAAAGCACUUUAAGUUGGGAGGAAGGGCAGUAAGCUAAUACCUUGCUGUUUUGACGUU